RNAcentral lists this unclassified non-coding RNA (217 nucleotides) under uncultured Tomentella. RNAcentral's name for it is "sequence contains ITS2". Lineage: Eukaryota; Fungi; Basidiomycota; Agaricomycetes; Thelephorales; Thelephoraceae. The record is from RNAcentral.
ACACCUCAACUCUCAUGGUCCGCCAUGAUGAGCUUGGACUUUGGGGGUCUUGCUGGCCCAUCGUCAGCUCCUCUCAAACGUAUCAGCUUCCCAGUGUUUGGUGGCGUCACAGGUGCGAUAACUAUCUACGCUUGUGAUUUUCUGCCAUUAACCUUCAGCAAUGGAGGUUCACUGGAGCUCACAGAUGUCUCUCCUAUGUGAGGACAGCUUUUUGAAC